CCUACGGGUGGCAGCAGUGAGGAAUAUUGGUCAAUGGACGAGAGUCUGAACCAGCCAAGUAGCGUGAAGGAUGACUGCCCUAUGGGUUGUAAACUUCUUUUAUAUGGGAAUAAAACGUUCCACGUGUGGGAUUUUGUAUGUACCAUAUGAAUAAGGAUCGGCUAACUCCGUGCCAGCAGCCGCGGUAAUACGGAGGAUCCUAGCGUUAUCCGGAUUUAUUGGGUUUAAAGGGAGCGUAGGUGGAUUGUUAAGUCAGUUGUGAAAGUUUGCGACUCAACCGUAAAAUUGCAGUUGAAACUGGCAGUCUUGAGUACAGUAGAGGUGGGCGGAAUUCGUGGUGUAGCGGUGAAAUGCUUAGAUAUCACGAAGAACUCCGAUUGCGAAGGCAGUUCACUGGACUGCAACUGACACUGAGGCUCGAAAGUGUGGGUAUCAAACAGGAUUAGAUACCCUGGUAGUC
RNAcentral lists this ribosomal RNA (460 nucleotides) under uncultured bacterium. RNAcentral describes it as "partial 16S ribosomal RNA". It matches the Rfam family "Bacterial small subunit ribosomal RNA", at positions 338 to 795 of the family's 1533-position model. The record is from RNAcentral.